RNAcentral lists this unclassified non-coding RNA (213 nucleotides) under Hevea brasiliensis (rubber tree). Lineage: Eukaryota; Viridiplantae; Streptophyta; Magnoliopsida; Malpighiales; Euphorbiaceae. The record is from RNAcentral.
AUUCCAUCAGAUGGAAGCUGUCCGUGUUUUUUCUCUAAAUGAUUGGGAGGCAUCUGGCACAGAUGGAACUUCUUAUGCUGCUGAUGACUUGAAGAAAUGCUUAGAAGGUUUGGCAAGGCAUUUAUUUGGUGCUGUGGAAAUGCGCUGGGUUGAUGCGUAUUUCCCAUUUACGAACCCAUCAUUUGAACUCGAGAUUUUCUUUCAGGAGAAAUG